AUGGAAGCAGAAGGCUUGGAUUGGUUUCUGUCCUGCCGCACCAUCUGGUUUCCUGGGGGGCUGCUGUGACCACAAUCUUUGGAGGGGUGGUCCCAUACAUGCCACAGUACAAGAAUGUUGGGAGGACCCAGAAUGCUAAUGGCUUCUCUACCUAUGCAUGUCUGGUGCUACUGGUGGCCAAUACACUGCUGGUUUAGAAGGCAUUUUGUGCUGCCUCUCCCAUGGCAGAGCAUACUCAUGAUCUUGACGUUUUUGCUGAUGUUGGAACUCUGUACUAUGUCGGCCUGGCAAAGGAACCAAAUAUAAAACUCCAGCCUUUGUAGACUCCCAUUCUCAGCACUUCUGGCACUGGGGCAGUUUCAUGAGCUAUGUGCACUGUGUCCUGGUCCUCACGAAGGUGACAAGCAGCUUCACUUACCUUGUUCAUACACUCUGCCUGCGGAAACCCUGGACUUCCUGGCCAAGGCCACUCUGAGCGUGCAGGAGCCCUACCAGCAACGCUGGCCACCCAUGCACACAGGGCACGAGAAUCAAAAUGGUGCUCGUGAGGACAAGCGGCGACACCUUCAAGACAGCCACAGCUUCAAGAUGCUCCUUCAGUUCUCCGUCUGUUGCAGGUGCUGGUGGACCUGGCCGUCCUGGGGCAGGUGUAGGCCUUCACCCGCCACCCCUAGAAGGCUGAGCCCGUUGCAGCGCCCCUGGCCAGAGCUAAGGCCCU
RNAcentral lists this long non-coding RNA (718 nucleotides) under Homo sapiens (human). RNAcentral's name for it is "non-protein coding lnc-CDH6-16:1". Lineage: Eukaryota; Metazoa; Chordata; Mammalia; Primates; Hominidae. The record is from RNAcentral.